GCAGUGGUGGUUCAGUGGUAGAAUUCUCACCCUCUGUGUGGGAGACCCAGGUUCAAUUCCCAGCCAAUGCA
Molecule: transfer RNA, 71 nt
Filed under: Loxodonta africana (African savanna elephant)
Lineage: Eukaryota; Metazoa; Chordata; Mammalia; Proboscidea; Elephantidae
Rfam family: tRNA
About the family: Transfer RNA (tRNA) molecules are approximately 80 nucleotides in length. Their secondary structure includes four short double-helical elements and three loops (D, anti-codon, and T loops).
Source: Rfam by way of RNAcentral